UGGGGAAUAUUGGACAAUGGGCGAAAGCCUGAUCCAGCCAUGCCGCGUGUGUGAAGAAGGUCUUCGGAUUGUAAAGCACUUUAAGUUGGGAGGAAGGGCAUUAACCUAAUACGUUAGUGUUUUGACGUUACCGACAGAAUAAGCACCGGCUAACUCUGUGCCAGCAGCCGCGGUAAUACCGAGGGUGCAAGCGUUAAUCGGAAUUACUGGGCGUAAAGCGCGCGUAGGUGGUUUGUUAAGUUGGAUGUGAAAUCCCCGGGCUCAACCUGGGAACUGCAUUCAAAACUGACUGACUAGAGUAUGGUAGAGGGUGGUGGAAUUUCCUGUGUAGCGGUGAAAUGCGUAGAUAUAGGAAGGAACACCAGUGGCGAAGGCGACCACCUGGACUAAUACUGACACUGAGGUGCGAAAGCGUGGGGAGCAAACA
Molecule: ribosomal RNA, 427 nt
Filed under: uncultured bacterium
Lineage: Bacteria
Description: partial 16S ribosomal RNA
Rfam family: Bacterial small subunit ribosomal RNA
Source: RNAcentral